UCGUACCACACUGUUAGAGGUUUCAAAGUAUUUUGCGCUGAAACUUGACAUGUUGGUACUGC
Molecule: microRNA precursor, 62 nt
Organism: Oreochromis aureus
Lineage: Eukaryota; Metazoa; Chordata; Actinopteri; Cichliformes; Cichlidae
Source: Ensembl